This is a long non-coding RNA of Oncorhynchus nerka (sockeye salmon), 7728 nucleotides long. RefSeq lists it as uncharacterized. NCBI's taxonomy places the organism in Eukaryota, Metazoa, Chordata, Actinopteri, Salmoniformes, Salmonidae. The transcript is spliced from 4 exons. The record is from RefSeq and is a predicted model, not a curated record.
UCAGUGCGCUUGAAUAUGAGUCAGUUGCACCACAUACUCUUCUCAUUGGGGAUGACCUUACAGGAGGAGGACAGAGGGCAUCGACUGACUCAGCUGCUGCAGUUGGUCACGAGCCCAUAUUUACAGACCUUUUUACAAGGGAAAGUACCUUCCUUUCCUGCUCGCAUUACAUUACUAACGAUCAGUGAGGAGGAAGGUGAGAGUUGCAUUCCUGCCCUGUGGACGUGAGGUCUAUGGGAGGAAAGAUCUACUGCUCAAUUGGUUCCCAAAGCCUACAAAUGACUGGCAGUUGAACGUAUGAUGAAAUCAAGGGGAUGAAUCCAUCUGAAGUCCCGAACGCUGUGCCAAAACCACAGUGAAACAGAGUCACAUGAGGUGGAAUGAACAUUGAGGCUUCGUCACAGGCCACAAUGACUCAGACUUAGAGGACCCACUUACUUCCACACUCACCAAUUUACCCACCCGCUAGCUCUGAGACAAACACUCAUUCUUCUCCAUACUCACAGCUAUUUCUGCACAUUCUGAGAACUUGGUUUACCGCUUCUCAAAAGUGCCACGUGUUGAACAGCAGAAGAAAGUGAAUCUUGUUUUUGAUGAGGAUACAGGUUUAUCCCGUUCCCACACGUGAAGAGUGAGAACAACAUGAAUGUGCUAUUGGAACAGAGCCAAUAUUGGGCCUUUUUAAGCUCUUAAAGGGAAAAAAUAGCCCUUGUGGUCAACCGAACUGCAAAUAUUUGCCUGGUGUGGUUUACUGUAGUCAUCACAAUUCUUUGGUGGCAAAUGUAGUAGUUUUUCCCAAUAACAUUGUAAAAUUUGAGAGAUAACCUUUCAUAAUAAAAAACAGAAAUCUGGACAAAUCUAAGGAAAUCUAACAGCAUCCCAGACUGUUAAUUGGCAAUACAACUUGGCUCUGCUGCAUGGUAGCUUAAGCAAUGGUACACUUUUAGAAAAAAAAAGUUAUUCGGCUGUCCCCAUAAGAGAACCAUUUUUGGUUCGUAUGUGGAAAGGGUUCUACAUAGAACCCAAAAAGGUUACACCGGGAAACAAAAAGUGUUCUUCAAAGGGUUUUCCUAUGGCAACAGCCGAAGAACCCUUUUAAGUUCUACCAUAGCAAAAAAAAAAUUAAGAGUGCACUACAAAUCAUGUUGCCACAAAGCUGAUUGGUGGAACAAGGGUCAGUGUGACAGAGUUUUACUGUAGUUAUCACAAUUAUUUUGUGACAAAUGAAGCCUUGUUUUUUCCAUUUGCUAUGAACAGUAAGACACACCUCUUCAUCCUCAAAAUUGAUAGAGAACAUUUUCAUAACACAAUGAAAUAGGACACACUUGAGAAGUAAUUGGUUAUACAACACAGGGCACCUGAUUGGUAGAUUUAUCUGUAGCGUCAUAAAUAAUACAAAAGAAAACUCAUACGAUAUCAUCUGAUUGGUGGAAUAACGGCCAGUGUGAGUCCCUGGUUUACAGCCUUACCCCUAGGCGUGCGUUGUGCAAAGAGGCGGGACUGACUUAUGGAGCUGUCUUUGAUUGGGCAAGUCUCUGAGCUGGUGAAACGGGUUAUACAGUCCCACAGCAGGGGCAGAACCCAUCACAGAGUUAUAUUUUGAAGUCUGGGUGGGGCACAGGUAGGGACGAGGCCUCACAUGACACAAAAUCCACAGGACAACAAUGUCAAAACAACCUGUCAAAAUGCCUCAGUGAUAUAAGAUCUAGAAUACUCCCCCAAAACAAUGAUGAAACCAUGCAGGUUUACUACAUUAUUCCAAUGGAAAAGUUCACAAGUUUACAGAGAAUAUUUUCUUCAUGUCAUGUGUCACAAUCGCAAUCCUUGUCAUACUAUUGCAAAUAGUGAACUCUAUGACUGAGUUAAAAUUGCUGUAAGGACCUAUACUCCACUGAACCACUUAGUGAAUGGUGGGGGUGCAGCAGAGGUUUCAUACAGGUCAUAACACAGACACAGACACACACAGACAAACACGUACAAGCACAAACUGCUGACCUUCCCGCUGGUAAUGUUUUCUCUCAGUGAAGAAAAAUCCAUGAAAAAAUGGUCAGCAUUACUGGAAAGAAUUACUGUACGAAUACUCCAGUGACUUGAAAUUUGAAGCCAACCUGUUCACAUAGAUUCUUGUCUCAAGGCCCCUUACAUAAGGCAUCAAAUGAUUGCAUGGAAAUGUUGAAUAGUAAGGUCAGGUGAAAUAAUUACUAAACUUCUGUCUUUUUUUGGGGGUGACUGUGGUUUGUUCCAUGUUCCGUCUUUGUCUGUUGUCUGUUCAGACAACCAACACCCUAUUUUAAAUAGCCCCACCCAGUUACCGAUAUUUAGAAAACUGGAAAGACAAGCUUAGCUUACCGUAGAUCUUGCAUUCCUAGACAGAAAAACAGUGUGUAUAAAUAAUGCUAAAAUAUUAUACAAAACAUCAACAACCUCUUUCCACGACAGACUGACUAGGUGAAUCCAGGUGAAAGCUAUGAUCCCUUAUUGAUGUCACAUGUUUAAUCCACUUCAACCAGUUUAAAUGAAGGGGAGGGGACAAUCUAAAGCAGGAUUUUUAAGCCUUGAGGCAAUUGAGACAUGGAUUGUGUAUGUGUGCCAUUCAUAGGGUGAAGGGACAAGACAAAAGAUUGAAGUGCCUUUGAACGGGGUAUGAUAGUAGGUGACAGGCGCCCCGGUUUGUGUCAAGAACUGCAACCCUGCUGGGUUUUUCACGCUCAACAGUUUCCCGUGUGUAUCAAGAAUGGUCCACUACCCAAAGGACAUCCAGCCAACUUGACACAACUGUGGGAAGCAUUGGAGUCAACAUGAGCCAGCAUCUUUGUGGAACGCUUUCGACACCUUGUAGAGUCCAUGCCCUGACGAAUAGAGGCUGCUCUGAGAGAAAAAGGGGGUGCAACUAAAUAUUAGGGAGGUGUUCUUAAUGUUUGGUGUACUCAGUGUCCGUCAGCCACAAUACAAAUGGGGACAUACUAAACAUCUGAGUGUGCACUAACUGGUGCUUGGUUACAAUGUUGACCGCCAUUAGAACGUUUUAAUUCACCUUCUCUGCAGGCCGCAUGUCUUAACUACGUAUCCGUCUCUCUCACUCUCCCUCUCACCCGUACACACACAUACAACCCCACACAUACCCAUAGACGGACGUUCAUACUUCGUAGCUUUAAAGUUUGAGCUUGUUGCCUCAUGUAGCCUGCUGUAUGCAGUGUUUGUGUGUAACACGAUGUAGGUGAGGGAAGAGCAGAGGCGGGUGGCUCUGCAGGUUGUUCAAGGGGCGGUUUGUGGUGUACGUCUCCCACAGCUGUGAGCUAGGAGGGUGUUGUUCCCAAUUCACUAGUCGAACCUCCUCACAACCCUUAUUUGCCAUCCUUUGGGGACAAACACAGCAUUUUUUUCUGACUCUGUAUACCAGGCCUUCGGGCCAAGUGUUUGCAGAGUGAGUUUGUGUUUCUGCCUGUGAGUAAUAACAGCCCUUGGAUUUCUAAAUGUGGCCAUUAUCACAGCUGGUUGAAAGGGGAGAGCUGUGGGCAGAGGGAGUUGGAUGGGGGUGGGGGAUUUUUUAUUUUUUUUAACUAGUAAGUUUGGGUCAGAGCCCUGGAUGUUGUGUUAGUUCAUGCUAAAUACAUAUUACACAAUCAAUAGUAGAGUAGAUCUAUAGUAGAAAGAGGAAUAACACGGGAACAGGUUCUGAAUGAAGUGCCUGUUGUAAUCACACAAUAGAAUCACAGGGGAAACCGUGUUAGUAAGGAUGAGAUACAGAUUAGCAAAGGGCAGACAAAGGGGAAAUAAAAUGACUUAACUCGGUUAAAGAUCAACUUCUCCUUAUCGACGGUCAUUUUUAGCUCAUGGGUCAAAUCAGUGAAGGAGGUUGACAUACUUUAACCUUGACCAUGAAACAAUCAUAGGACCUGUGUCAUGUUUUUCCACAGACUGAGGGAAAGAGACUCCCUGGAAGAAAGCUCUGUCUUAAAAAGGCUACAUGGUUCUUGAAGCGUUUCCACCGGACUAAUUAUUUGUAGAAUGACGUAAUUCAGAACGCUCACCUGAUUUGGCAAGGUGCAGUUGGCAAGGUGCAGUAAGCUGGCCAAUGUUAACCAUAAACAUGGGACAAGUGACAGCUCAUCAAAAUACAAUCUUUUACACCUCUGUAGUUCUAGGCCAGUCGUAGUGUAGCCAAGCUUAUCUGCCAUGUUAAUUUAUUUGAUUUAACUAGGCAUAUGUAAAUAUAAAGACAUGACUACUUCUACCAUUAGGUCUGUGUCUUUGUGGCUUUAGCUCGCCUCAUAUACUAGACGCACAUACUAUUGCCCUCUACCAGUUCACUGUCUGCAUUUUGAAGUCCAAAGAAACUACAGUGAUUCGUGUUUUGUAGCUGCCCUCAUUCGAAGGGACGUAGGACUCCAUUUCUCACUUUCUUGUACCUUUUAGGUCAGGACACUCUGGCGGCUGUACUGUAAAGGCUCUCUGACGUCAGUGUCUGUGCUUGGCCUGAAUACUGUUAGGCAAACACCCUUUGGACUGUGUCGAGGAGGAACUGCACACUUCCUCUGUAUUCUUGCGUUGCGGUUAGCCUGUGGUACCCUGUAUUGUAUUGUACUAUAACGGCACUAAAACGUUUUUUUUUUUUUAUGGCACAAUGGAAUAAUUCAAUGUUGAUCGGUUUCGUCUUUUAUAUCAACUUAGACGCAGGGACCAUGUCAAAAUUGGAAGUUCUCAUUCAUAACUGAGAUGAAUGUACCUGCUUUAACUUCAACUGAAGGUUGAUUAAAGAACUGAGCAAGACUAAUAGUGGCUACAUAGUAUCUAGACACUGGUCAAAGUUGGCAUGGGCCCGGGUGGAAACUGCACACCCUCAUAGCGGUGCCUCUGUUUUUCUUCUUACCUUCACGUCAUGGCGUCUCCAUUCUCGCCUCUUGGUGUGAAGUGCACGCUACCAGUACAACCACAACAUCCUGUCCAUGCAGACUGUUAACUUCUCAGGGAGCUGUGCAGAGGGGCGGCAGCUGAUUUUAGACUUGUUAAUAAGACGUGUGGGAGUGCUAACUGCACGCACAAACACGCUCUAAUGAGUACAGAAAGGUCCUUGUGCGCAGCAUGGGUUUGUCUCUAUUUUGAUGGUAAUACCAGUAUGUGCAGUCGCCUGAGUUUAGUAAGUGAAGGUGGUCCUUUUUUUGUGUGUCAUAAUGGCUGGCAUUGACUAGUCAGCAAGCACCAUUUGGGUCAGUAUGACAUGGAUCAAGUCAUCUUUGCACUAGUUGAGACAAUCUGUCUGAUCCCUUCUGAGAACAUGACUGUAUCAGGUGCAGUGUGAUGGCUAUAUAGUGUGCUAAGUAGGGCAGGUUGUGAAAGCAUGUACACAUGCAUUGUUCAUGCCUGUGGGACUGCACCAACCACAGUGUGACAGACAGCGGGUCUUAGAAACUGGAAAGUCAGCAUGUUCACACAAAAGAAAAGUAUAACCAUCUCACCCUUACACCUAUUCUUCUAGAUUGAUCUAUAGGCUAUACAACAAGCAAAUAAUUUCCCAUUCAAUACGUGUCUUUAUUGCCAAAGCUUUAUAAAGGUACCAAACUCACUAUCUAUUGGUCAACAGUUGUACUGUGGGGGAAGGGAAAUAGAUACACUUCCCUAUCACUGCAAUUAUAGCAUAUAUAUAUAUAUAUAUAUAUAUAUAUAUAUAUAUAUAGCAUAUAUAUACAUACAGUUGAAGUCGGGAAGUUUACAUAUACUUAGGUUGGAGUCAUUAAAACUCGUUUUCCAACCACUCCACAAAUGUCUUGUUAACAAACUAUUGUUUUGGCAAGUCGGUUAGGACAUCUACUUCGUGCAUGACACAAGUAAUUUUUUCAACAAUUGUGUACAGACAGAGUUUUUCACUUAUAAUUCACUGUAUCACAAUUCCAGUGGGUCAGAAGUUUACAUACACUAAGUUGACUGUGCCUUUAAAUAGCUUGGAAAUUUCCCAAAAUUAUGUUAUGGCUUUAGAAGCUUCUGAUAGGCUAAUUGACAUCAUUUGUGUCACGUUCUGACCUUAGUUCUUUUGUUAUGUCUUUGUUUUAGUAUGGUCAGGGCGUGAGUUGGGUGGGUUGUCUAUGUUCCUUUUUCUAUGUGGUGUUUUUGUGUUUGGCCUGGUAUGGUUCUCAAUCAGAGGCAGGUGUCGUUAGUUGUCUCUGAUUGAGAAUCAUACUUAUGUAGCCUUUCCCACCUGUGAUUUUUGGGUGAUUAUUUUCCAUUUCAGUGUUUGCACCAUUCGGGACUGUUUCGGUUUUCAUUUUGUUUCUCUUGUACUUUUUGUAUUCUGUAUCCAUUCUCCAUAGUCGCCGGUCACUCCGGAGCUGCCGGAGCCGCCUGUCACUCCGGAGCUGCCGGAAUCGCCUUUCACUCCGGAGCUGCCGGAGUCUCCCGCCUGUCCGGUGCUGCCGGAAUCUCCCGUCCAUUCGGGACCCGUUGCUAGGGUCCCCAGUUAGAGCUCGGCGGAGAGGGUCGCCGCUUCCAAGGCGCCACUUAAGUGGGCCGAGACUAUGAUGGAGUGGUCCACGUCCCGCGCCGCCACCGCCACCGCGGACAGACACCCACCCACCCAGACCCUCCCCUAUAGGUUAAGGUUUUGCGGCCGGAGUCCGCACCUUUGGGGGGGGGGUACUGUCACGUUCUGACCUUAGUUCCUUUGUGAUGUCUUUGUUUUAGUUGGUCAGGGUGUGAGUUGGGUGGGCAGUCUAUGUUCUUUUUUUCUAUGAUUUGGUAUUUCUGUGUUUGGCCUGGUAUGGUUCUCAAUCAGAGGCAGCUGUCAAUCGUUGUCCCUGAUUGAGAACCAUACUAAGGCAGCCUGUUUUCCCCCUUGAGUUGUGGGUGAUUCAUUUCUGUUCGUAUCUGUUACCAGACAGUACUGUUUCGGUUUAAUUUUGUUCUCUUGUUGGUUUUGUAUUUUAGUGUUCUGAGUUCUAUUAAAGAAUAUGAAGCACGGGGGUGGCAGCAUCAUGUUGUGGGGGUGCUUUGCUGCAGGAGGGACUGGUGCACUUCACAAAAUAGAGGGCAUCAUGAGGUAGGAAAAUUACGUGGAUAGAUUGAAGCAACAUCUCAAGAUAUCAGUCAGGACGUUGUAGCUUGGUCUCAAAUGGGUUUUCCAAAUGGACAAUGACCCCAAGUAUGCUUCCAAAGUUAUGUCAAAAUGGCUUAAGGACAACAAAGUCAAGGUAUUGGAGUGGCCAUCACAAAGCCCUGACCUCAAUCCCAUAGAAAACUUGUGAGCAGAACUGAAAAAGUGUGUGCUAGCAAGGAGGCCUACAAACCUGACUCUAUUACACCAGCUCUGUCAGGAGGAAUGGGACAAAAUUCACCCAAAUUGUUGUGGGAAGCUUGUGGAAGGCAACCUUAAAUGUUUGACCCAAGAUAAACAAUUUAAAGGCAAUACUACCAAAUACUAAUUGAGUGUAUGUAGCUACUGACCCACUGGGAAUGUGAUGAAAGAAAUAAAAGCUGAAAUAAAUCAUUAUCUCUACUGUUAUUCUGACAUUUCACAUUCUUAAAAUAAAGUGUUGAUCCUAACUGACUUAAAACAGGUGAUUGUUACUAGGAUUAAAUGUCAGGAAUUGUGAAAAAACGAGUUUAAAUGUAUGUGGCUAAGGUGUAUGUAAACUUCUGACUUCAACUGUAUAUAUAUAUGUAUAUAUAUGAUUGCUAUUUUAGUGUGUCACCUUUUCUAGUACAUACAAAAUACAAGAAAGAAGUUGUGUAUGUGAA